GUAACAUGUAGAGGAGGAUUCUAUUAAUAAUGAGAAAGACUUAUGAAGAGGGAUAAAAGCAAUGCUCGACAUGAGAACAAAAGAAACUAUGGAAGGAACACAAUAUAAUUUUGCUAUCACUAAGGAAAUAACAAACAUAAAUAAAUUAUAUUAUUUCCAUUUUUUCCUACAGGUGUAUAUGCACUCAUUGUUUGUCUUUCACAAACGUGUGGUCACACACUCACACACACACAUCGUUUUCAGGUUGUAGACUGGAAGAUAAUCCCUUACCAUUUUUUAACUAAUUUUAUUCACAAUAUUCUCUUCCCAUUUUUUUCUGCAUGUUUAGUGCCUGGCAUUUUCUUUAUAUCAUUUGCUUUGCAUGAAUAGUUGUUUCCUAAAUGUACACUCAAAAUGUGAAAUUAAGUAAGCUAUUGCUUGUAGACAGAGAAAUGUGGAGCUGGG
This 444-nucleotide unclassified non-coding RNA is filed under the name Hevea brasiliensis (rubber tree). The record is from RNAcentral. Lineage: Eukaryota; Viridiplantae; Streptophyta; Magnoliopsida; Malpighiales; Euphorbiaceae.